Molecule: non-coding RNA, 95 nt
Organism: Acanthosepion pharaonis
Lineage: Eukaryota; Metazoa; Mollusca; Cephalopoda; Sepiida; Sepiidae
Source: the annotation of a GenBank genome assembly
UUGAAACACCAGUUCCCAUUUGAUUGCCAAAGUUAAGCAACAUUAAGCCUGCUCAGUACCUAGAUGGGUGAAUGCUUUGGAAUGUAAGUGGUGUA